Molecule: ribosomal RNA, 528 nt
Filed under: uncultured Pelagibacterales bacterium
Lineage: Bacteria; Pseudomonadati; Pseudomonadota; Alphaproteobacteria; Candidatus Pelagibacterales
Description: bacterial SSU rRNA
Rfam family: Bacterial small subunit ribosomal RNA
Source: RNAcentral
ACUGAGUGGCAGACGGGUGAGUAUAAUGUGGGAAUCUGCCUUUUGGUUCGGAAUAACACGAGGAAACUUGUGCUAAUACCGGAUAAGCCUUUACAGGGAAAGUUUUAAUGCCAAAAGAUGAGCCCGCACUUGAUUAGCUAGUUGGUAAGGUAAUGGCUUACCAAGGCAACGAUCAAUAGCUGUUCUUAGAGGAAGACCAGCCACAUUGGGACUGAGACACGGCCCAAACUCCUACGGGAGGCAGCAGUGGGGAAUCUUGCACAAUGGGGGAAACCCUGAUGCAGCGACGCCGCGUGAGUGAAGAAGGCCUUUGGGUUGUAAAACUCUUCCGUCGGGGAAGAAAAUGACUGUACCCGAAUAAGAAGGUCCGGCUAACUUCGUGCCAGCAGCCGCGGUAAUACGAAGGGACCUAGCGUAGUUCGGAAUUACUGGGCUUAAAGAGUUCGUAGGUGGUUAAAAUAGUUGAUGGUGAAAUCCCAAGGCUCAACCUUGGAACUGCCAUCAAAACUUUUUAGCUAGAGUAUGAUA